Molecule: ribosomal RNA, 253 nt
Filed under: uncultured bacterium
Lineage: Bacteria
Description: partial 16S ribosomal RNA
Rfam family: Bacterial small subunit ribosomal RNA
Source: RNAcentral
UACGUAGGUGGCAAGCGUUAUCCGGAUUUACUGGGUGUAAAGGGCGUGUAGGCGGGACUGCAAGUCAGAUGUGAAAACCACGGGCUCAACCUGUGGCCUGCAUUUGAAACUGUAGUUCUUGAGUACUGGAGAGGCAGACGGAAUUCCUAGUGUAGCGGUGAAAUGCGUAGAUAUUAGGAGGAACACCAGUGGCGAAGGCGGCUUACUGGACGAUGACUGACGCUGAGGCCCGAAAGCGUGGGGAGCAAACAGG